GAUGAACGCUGGCGGCGUGCUUAACACAUGCAAGUCGAACGGAACACCCUUGAAGGAGUUUUCGGACAACUGAUAGGACUGUUUAGUGGCGGACGGGUGAGUAACGCGUGAGCAACCUGCCUUGGAGUGGGGAAUAACAGCUGGAAACAGCUGCUAAUACCGCAUAAUAUGUCUGAACCGCAUGGCUCUGGACAUCAAAGAUUUAUCGCUCUGAGAUGGACUCGCGUCUGAUUAGCUAGUUGGUGGGGCAACGGCCCACCAAGGCGACGAUCAGUAGCCGGACUGAGAGGUUGGCCGGCCACAUUGGGACUGAGACACGGCCCAG
RNAcentral lists this ribosomal RNA (325 nucleotides) under uncultured bacterium. RNAcentral's name for it is "bacterial SSU rRNA". It matches the Rfam family "Bacterial small subunit ribosomal RNA", at positions 28 to 334 of the family's 1533-position model. The record is from RNAcentral.